RNAcentral lists this ribosomal RNA (412 nucleotides) under uncultured Glomeromycotina. Its description in RNAcentral is "SSU rRNA". It matches the Rfam family "Eukaryotic small subunit ribosomal RNA", at positions 569 to 984 of the family's 1831-position model. The record is from RNAcentral. Lineage: Eukaryota; Fungi; Glomeromycota.
AGCAGCCGCGGUAAUUCCAGCUCCAAUAGCGUAUAUUAAAGUUGUUGCAGUUAAAAAGCUCGUAGUUGAAUUUCGGGGUCAGCAGGUUGGUCGUGCCACCGGUAUGCACUGGCCUUGCUGAUUCCUCCCUCUUGUAGAACCGUAAUGCCAUUAAUUUGGUGUUGCGGGGAAACAGGACUGUUACUUUGAAAAAAUUAGAGUGUUUAAAGCAGGCUAACGCCUGAAUACAUUAGCAUGGAAUAAUGAAAUAGGACGUUCGAUCCUAUUUUGUUGGUUUCUAGGGUUGACGUAAUGAUUAAUAGGGACAGUUGGGGGCAUUAGUAUUCAAUUGUCAGAGGUGAAAUUCUUGGAUUUAUUGAAGACUAACUACUGCGAAAGCAUUUGCCAAGGAUGUUUUCAUUAAUCAAGUAAC